RNAcentral lists this ribosomal RNA (387 nucleotides) under uncultured eukaryote. RNAcentral's name for it is "partial 18S ribosomal RNA". It matches the Rfam family "Eukaryotic small subunit ribosomal RNA", at positions 592 to 976 of the family's 1831-position model. The record is from RNAcentral.
CAAUAGCGUAUAUUAACGUUGUUGCAGUUAAAAAGCUCGUAGUUGGAUUUCUGACAGGAGUGACCGGUCCGAGUCGCAAGACUCGUGUACUUUUGUGUCUUACUCUAGUCAUCCUUAUGGAGAUUGUGUUUCGGCAUUGAGUUGUCGGGCAUAGGACCCAUAUCGUUUACUGUGAAAAAAUUAGAGUGUUUAAAGCAGGCAAUUGCUGUGAAUACAUUAGCAUGGAAUAAUAAGAUAGGACUUUGGUGCUAUUUUGUUGGUUUGCCACCAAGGUAAUGAUUAAGAGGGACAGUUGGGGGUAUUCGUAUUUAAUUGUCAGAGGUGAAAUUCUCGGAUUUAUGAAAGACGAACUACUGCGAAAGCAUUUACCAAGGAUGUUUNCAUUAA